GCGCGAGCGCGCAGUCUCCGCUCUGGUGUCCGCGGUCCAAGUGUCGCGCGAAUUGCUCUUUUGAAAGGUAGUGGGAAAACGGGUUGUUCUUCUGAAGAACUUUACGUCUGGAAGGCAGAGGAUGAAACGCCGAGAUUGAAAGAAGUCACUUGCAUGGGAGAGAGAGCAGGAGUGUGAGCGGGGCCAGGGACACAGUGAGACAGAUGGAGAGAGAGACAGAAUCCCAAGCAGGCUCCACAUUCAACACAGAGCCCACCAAAGGGCUCGAUCCCACAACCCUGAGUUCAUGACCUGAGCAAAAUCAAGAGUCUGACACUCAACCAACUAAGCCAAAUAGGCACUAUAAAUAUUAUUCACCAAAAGGAAAAGGUAUUUGGUUAGCAGUGCAGCACGCUUCUGGAAGAAAAGUUGUGAGGAGAAAGAACUCAAUGGCUAAGCAAGAAAAAGAAGUGGCACUUGGCAAAGACAAUGACCUUACUCCAGCUGGCAGCACCCUACUUCACUAUAAGUUACCAAUUGUCUCAAUAUUCUAUUUAGCAUAUAUUUGAUAUCUACUAAAGGAAAUAACUGCUAUUUAAUAUGACUGUCUUGGUUUUUGUCCUUGUACCCCUACAGUCUGUUUUUGACACAGUUCAGUGUGAUUCUUUUAAGACAUAAAUCCUAUCACAUCAUUCCUGUUUAAAAUCCUUUAAGUGAUUCCCAAAUGGAGUGAAAAUCCCAGUUGUUACAGUGGCUCACAAGACCCUACACAGUCUACAUCCCUACCUCCUCUGUCUUCCCACUUAGCUCUCUGACCUCAUCUCUCACUACGAUCCCACUUGCUCAUUAUGAUCCAGCCACCAGGCCUCCUUGUUCUUCAAUAAGUCAAAUAAGCACUCUCCUAGCUUAGAGUCUUGGCUCUUAUUCUCUCUGCCUGGAAUGUUCUUCCACAAAUACUCACUUUAUUCUCAGCUUUAUUCUCUCACUUAAGUCUCUGCUCUCACAUCAUAUCAUAAAGCCUUAUUCUGCCCAACAUUAAAAAACACUACUUCUUGUUACCAAUCCAGCACUAUCCAUCCCUCUUAUAAUCUUUUAUUUUCAUUUAGGAUAUUAUCGCCAUCUGAUAUCCUCUUUCCUAACUAUCCAUCUCUCCCCACAUUCCUAAGCUCCACGAGAACAGGAAAUAUAUUCUUUCACAGCUAGAGCUCCAAAAUGCAAAAUAUUGCUUGAAUGUUGGUGAAUGAUUUUUUAUCCAAAUAACAUAGAACAGGCACUGAGAGCUCUCCCCUCAGCAUUUCUCCAAACCAAUCUGCUAGAUAUGUUGCCACUGCUACAGUCAUCUUCCUCAAAGGCCACUGAAUGACAGCACUCUCAUGAAUCAGCUUCCCCUCACCAAAUAAAAUCCAAACAUCUUACUCUGAGUUUUGAGUAAUGUCCAACUUGCCCCAAAUCUACCUAAUGGCACUCACCAGCAGGCUUCCUUGAAACUUACACAGUCUCAGCACAGCUUCCUCAUUAUCCAUAAUCUCUAUUUAAACUAUCUUUUCUUCUUAAUCCUUUAUGGAAUCUAACAACCCUUCUUGAGCCAUCUUUCUCAUCUUAUUUAAUAACAUUAUUUUAAAUGGUCACGUCUACCAUCUUCAACCCUAAAGGUGAUAUUAAAAUAACUUGUGUUUGUUUUCUUGUGGUGUAUAAAUUAAUGUUAAAUAGAACUGUGAGAAUAUAUUCUAGAAGGUAUCAUACAGAAUAAAUAAAACAGAUAACUAAAUAACCAAAUUCAUUCCAAGAUAUUUUCUUUGAGAAACCAAAGCAUGAUCCCAAAAUCCUACUGAGUCUCUUUAAUGACUGCAUCUUUUCUCCUGGUACCUUACAGUCAAAAUGUUUGAAUGUUCACCUAAAACUCUGACAUGUCAACUCAAAUAAUGUUUCAAAUAUUAGUGGCUAUUUUAUUUUUUUUCAAGUAGGGAGAGAGAACUAUGUGGGAGCCUGAAUUCUAUUCCUGAAUUCUAGCAGGCUGUCUGACCACCAGCACCAGCAGUCUUCUGGGGCUACUGAAACAGCAUGGGAAAAAAACCAAAACAACUAUAAAGUCUUAAACUAACCUCUUCAUAAACAAUGUUGGUAAUAUGGAAAUAUAAAAAGUUCACACUCUGUUAUCUUCCAGAGCAAGGGGCAACAACAGGGAGUAAAGUAGCUUACCUCAGGCUAAUAGACUCCCAUCAGAGCUUUUUGGAAAACUGAUGAAAAAUUUUAUCUUCAUUCAAAAGAGAAAAACAAAUUAUUAUCAGGUAUUUAUUCUCCUAGCUCACAGGGGAAGCAGUACCUGAGCUAAAAGCACAGGUCUGGUAUUGAAAAGUCCCAAGUCAUAUUUGCUGGGAAUUAAACUGUCAACAAAUCUUUCAAAAUGCCAAGAAGUACUCAAAAGAGCAAAUGUGUAUUUGAGGGAAAAAGCACAAUA
Neofelis nebulosa (Clouded leopard) is the source of this 2437-nucleotide long non-coding RNA. RefSeq lists it as uncharacterized. The record is from RefSeq and is a predicted model, not a curated record. The transcript has 4 exons. Lineage: Eukaryota; Metazoa; Chordata; Mammalia; Carnivora; Felidae.